CCUAACACAUGCAAGUCGAGCGAUUUACUUCUUUAAAGAGCGGCGGACGGGUGAGUAACGCGUGGGUAACCUGCCCUGUACACACGGAUAACAUACCGAAAGGUAUGCUAAUACGGGAUAAUAUAAUAGAGUCGCAUGGCUUUCUUAUCAAAGCUCCGGCGGUACAAGAUGGACCCGCGUCUGAUUAGCUAGUUGGUAAGGUAACGGCUUACCAAGGCGACCAUCACUACCCGACCUGAGAGGGUGAUCGGCCACAUUGGAACUGACACACGGUCCAAACUCCUACGGGAGGCAGCAUCGGGGAAUAUUGCACAAUGGGCGAAAGCCUGAUGCAGCAACGCCGCGUGAGCGAUCAAGGCCUUCGGGUCGUAAAGCUCUGUCCUCAAGGAAGAUAAUGACGGUACUUGAGGAGGAAGCCCCGGCUAACUACAUGCCAGCAGCCGCGGUAAUACGUAUGGGGCUAGCGUUAUCCGGAAUUACUGGGCGUAAAGGGUGCGCAGGUGGUUUCUUAAGUCAUAAGUGAAAGGCUACGGCUCAACCGUAGUAAGCUUUUGAAACUGAGAAACUUGAGUGCACGACAGGAGAGUACAAUUCCUAGUGUAGCGGUGAAAUGCGUAGAUAUUAGGAGGAAUACCAGUUGCGAAGGCAGCUCUCUGGACUGUAACUGACACUGA
RNAcentral lists this ribosomal RNA (674 nucleotides) under uncultured organism. RNAcentral describes it as "SSU rRNA". It matches the Rfam family "Bacterial small subunit ribosomal RNA", at positions 47 to 749 of the family's 1533-position model. The record is from RNAcentral.